GCCAUUUGCAUAAGGUAACAGAGUGAGACAAGAGCAGUUCUGGGACUGGCAGGCAGAGUUCCUUAGUGCCAUGCGCACAGUGGCAAGAUCCCUCAGGCACCUCAGGAGAGUGGGAUCAAGGCCGAGAGGGUAGGCGAAUGUCGGUACAUGAAUGGAUUUUGAAAUGGAGGCAGCACUUGUCAUGUGCCAGCUUCCUUUGGAAAAUGAUGCUACAGAGAUCCCAUCACUGGUUGGGUCUUGUCCAGCUGCUUUGUGGAGGGAAGGAUGAACAGGACAUGCUCUCCUUUGUGCCACCACCCCAGUCAGUGGCAAGGGGGGGAAAUGAGGAGACCUUCCAAUGUCUUCUCUACCAAGUGAAUCUCUGACUCUACAAGUUUCCUUCCCAAGACACUGUGGUCCAGGGCUACCUCCCUUACAGCCUACAUGACAACAUGUGCAAAUUAUUUGUCAGCAUCUAAUUGCAAGAACGUGACCCAUAGCAACGGGAUGGCCAUCGUCUAAGAUAACCUGUUUUCACUGUGGAGCACAGGCUCUGAAGGGGACACAGCCAAACCACACCAGCUCAUUAGCAUCUUCAGCUCUGCC
This 585-nucleotide long non-coding RNA is filed under the name Homo sapiens (human). RNAcentral's name for it is "HSALNT0014440". Lineage: Eukaryota; Metazoa; Chordata; Mammalia; Primates; Hominidae. The record is from RNAcentral.